This 407-nucleotide ribosomal RNA is filed under the name uncultured bacterium. RNAcentral's name for it is "bacterial SSU rRNA". It matches the Rfam family "Bacterial small subunit ribosomal RNA", at positions 350 to 750 of the family's 1533-position model. The record is from RNAcentral.
AGCAGUGGGGAAUAUUGGACAAUGGGCGAAAGCCUGAUCCAGCCAUGCCGCGUGUGUGAAGAAGGUCUUCGGAUUGUAAAGCACUUUAAGUUGGGAGGAAGGGCAGUUACCUAAUACGUGAUUGUUUUGACGUUACCGACAGAAUAAGCACCGGCUAACUCUGUGCCAGCAGCCGCGGUAAUACAGAGGGUGCAAGCGUUAAUCGGAAUUACUGGGCGUAAAGCGCGCGUAGGUGGUUUGUUAAGUUGGAUGUGAAAUCCCCGGGCUCAACCUGGGAACUGCAUUCAAAACUGACUGACUAGAGUGUGGUAGAGGGUGGUGGAAUUUCCUGUGUAGCGGUGAAAUGCGUAGAUAUAGGAAGGAACACCAGUGGCGAAGCGACCACCUGGACCAACACUGACACUGAG